This 85-nucleotide microRNA precursor is filed under the name Physcomitrium patens. RNAcentral's name for it is "Physcomitrella patens miR477c stem-loop (ppt-MIR477c)". Its record names the gene ppt-MIR477c. Lineage: Eukaryota; Viridiplantae; Streptophyta; Bryopsida; Funariales; Funariaceae. The record is from miRBase by way of RNAcentral.
GUUGAUUUUUCCUCUCCCUCAAAGGCUUCCAACGUCCUUUUUGUGAGCAAGCACGCUGGAAGUCUUUGUUGAAGAGGAGGAAACA